UUUAAAAAAAAAAAAAAAUGAAAUCAUGCUAUAUGACAACUAGGCACGUCCACCUACACCUAUUUGAAAAACCAAAUUCCAGUUAAAAAAACACAGCUUGACAAUUACAGAACAACACUUUUCAUCCCCCCAUUUUGUGCUUCAAAGGUUGUAAAGAUCAUUAAUCAAGGUAAUCUGAUAAGAUCGAGCAGCAAACACACACAUCCAAACAUACAUUUUCCAGCAACAAAAGUGGCUCAAUAUUGGCCCAUAACACACAGAGAAACCUGUAUAACAACAGGCCUCUUCGCAAAUAUCCAGUGAGACAACUCAUAAUUUGAACAUAACAUAGCCAUACCAAGCAGCCUUUCUUCCUCAAAUAACCACCGUCAAUGACCUGAAAUACCACUUGUUAGUUGCUACGAUAUUGUUAGUAGCGCCAACACUUUAAUUCCGUUCCAGUUUUCACAAAGAUGUAGGUCUCCUUUAAAGCAUAUAAGACAUAAUGCCAUGACACCAAACGAUUCAAAUAAACAAGGUUUGACUAAGAGGUGGAGCUUUCUCGCUGGAGCCAAGCAAAGAAAAAUUACUAAGAAUCCAAAAGCUACUAUAUUCUUCUCUUCACGUUUCAUAAACCCUUAAAAAUGAAACGUUUAUAAGUGGUUCAAUUUCUCUCUUGCAUUGGAAUCUAAUUUUAAGAACUCAUUCUCUUCAAUUCCAAAGUUGAGUGAAAAACUUCAAUUUAAGAGAUGGCUAUUAUGAAUUUUUCUUCAAAUCCCACAAAAAUUGAAGAUUUGGGUUCUAAUCACAUUGAUUGAGAGAUUGAUAUACGAAGAGAAUCGAAUGCAGUAAAACGGAAAGUACAAAUUAUAAUCUUAACCUGCAAGUGCCCUCAACAUCUU
This 881-nucleotide unclassified non-coding RNA is filed under the name Hevea brasiliensis (rubber tree). The record is from RNAcentral. Lineage: Eukaryota; Viridiplantae; Streptophyta; Magnoliopsida; Malpighiales; Euphorbiaceae.